Molecule: ribosomal RNA, 252 nt
Filed under: uncultured bacterium
Lineage: Bacteria
Description: partial 16S ribosomal RNA
Rfam family: Bacterial small subunit ribosomal RNA
Source: RNAcentral
UACGGAGGAUGCGAGCGUUAUCCGGAUUUAUUGGGUUUAAAGGGUGCGUAGGCGGACGCUUAAGUCAGCGGUAAAAUUGCGGGGCUCAACCUCGUCGAGCCGUUGAAACUGGGUGCCUUGAGUGGGCGAGAAGUACGCGGAAUGCGUGGUGUAGCGGUGAAAUGCAUAGAUAUCACGCAGAACUCCGAUUGCGAAGGCAGCGUACCGGCGCCCAACUGACGCUGUAGCACGAAGGCGUGGGUAUCGAACAGG